AUUUAAGUAAUUUAAUAAAAAUAUUGAUUUGUGGUAUCAAAUAUGUAAUGAUUUACCUUAAAUU
Molecule: transfer RNA, 64 nt
Filed under: Sanfilippodytes adelardi
Lineage: Eukaryota; Metazoa; Arthropoda; Insecta; Coleoptera; Dytiscidae
Description: tRNA-His
Source: RNAcentral